GGGUUCACCCAUUGGUCAGGCUUAAUUGUCUGCACUGGUGAGAUGAGUCUCUACCUUCUGAGGAACUUUCAUGUCAUUAAUUUGGUGUGAUGGGAAAUCAGGACUGUUACUUUGAAAAAAUUAGAGUGUUUAAAGCAGGCUCACGCUUGAAUACAUUAGCAUGGAAUAACGAAAUAGGAC
RNAcentral lists this ribosomal RNA (180 nucleotides) under uncultured Glomeromycotina. RNAcentral describes it as "partial small subunit ribosomal RNA". The stretch from base 48 to 180 matches the Rfam family "Eukaryotic small subunit ribosomal RNA", at positions 693 to 828 of the family's 1831-position model. The record is from RNAcentral. Lineage: Eukaryota; Fungi; Glomeromycota.